This 427-nucleotide long non-coding RNA is filed under the name Panicum hallii. RNAcentral's name for it is "long non-coding RNA (PHAL_LNC000127)". The record is from RNAcentral. Lineage: Eukaryota; Viridiplantae; Streptophyta; Magnoliopsida; Poales; Poaceae.
CCACGGCAUGGAGCCGCCCCUCGCCCUUCCCACACCACAGCCGCUCCCCUCCCCCGGCCCUCUCCCGACGAAGGGGCCGCGGCGAGCGAGCGGCGCACGCGGAGCGGAGGCGAGCGUGCGGAGGCGGGCAGAGCCGCGGGAGGUGCGGUGCGAGCGGAUUAUCUAUUUUUUUGUGUUUUAAAAAAGUAUCACCGCUGGUUGGUCCAAUCCAUCACCGCUGAUCUUAAUCUAACAGGUCGUCGAAUCGACAGUUUGCUGUUUCUACCCCGACGGUGAUAGGACUACCUGUACUCGUGUGGUGGAGCCUUCUUCGGUUCUCCCACGCCAUGAGUGAAGGAAAUAAAGGCACGCGCAACAUGAAUCUGUGUCUCAUUUCGUUCCAUUAAUGGAGCGCCUGGAUGAUCGAUUGUUGCGCAAAGACGUCAUC